Molecule: non-coding RNA, 28 nt
Filed under: Bombyx mori (domestic silkworm)
Lineage: Eukaryota; Metazoa; Arthropoda; Insecta; Lepidoptera; Bombycidae
Source: RNAcentral
UCUUAAGUUGACUUAUUUAGGAGAUGGC